UAGAAUGAUAAAAAUAAGAAUAGUAGGCCCAUUUCAUCCACAACUUCAGAAAAAGGAUUGCUUGCUGUAACCGUGUGGAUUGGCCUAUUGGCUGAUGCUUAUACGGAUUUAUCAAUUGCCGAUAUCAGAGCAAUUGAUGAUGUCGGACUAGUGAUAAGGUCGUCUUGUAUCCAUCUAUUGAUGUGUGCUUUGUUUUCGAUCUAAGUAUCUUCAUCGAGCAUUGUAACGUUUGAGCUGUAACUGAUGCGGAAUUGGGGAAUCCGAUUGUCUAUUUGAAACAGAGGAGUUAAAUGGUUUUUGCGAACGAUUACUGUCUCAUAUUGCUGCCCAGUGGUCUGAAUGGUUAGUAGAAAAUCCAGUAAGCACGAGUAGACGGCGGGAGUAACUAUGUCUCUUUUAAGGUGGCCUCAUUUGACUAGUGACGCGCAUGGAUGGAUAAAUGAGAUUUCCACUAUCACUAACUACUAUCUAGUGAAACCACAGUUAAGGGUACGGGCUUGAUAAAAGUAGCACGGAAAGAAGACACUGUUGAGAUUGACAUUGUGAAGCAUCAGGAGAGGUGUAGCAUAGGUGGGUGAUUGAUGACUAAUAAUCGUUGAUCGAGUGCUACCACUCUCAUCGACUCUUUACUUAAUCGGUAGGAAGAGGUUUUGUCUUGACUAUCAUUGCGAGUACAGACUACGAAAGCGUAGCCUAUCGAGCCAUUGAAUCCAGAUAGUUUCUGGUAAGAGGUCUCAAAUAAGGGAUAAGAGUUAGUAGGGAAUUAAUAUGAUUUCGUUUAUGAAUAUUGUGAUAUCGCAUAGAUAUUAUAUGAUAUAUCAACAUAUAUGUCACUAACGUCUACGUUGACAGCAUUUCUCAUUUCUACUCGUUAUUUAACUGUCUAUUGUAGG
This 893-nucleotide non-coding RNA is filed under the name Dictyocaulus viviparus (bovine lungworm). RNAcentral's name for it is "Eukaryotic large subunit ribosomal RNA". It matches the Rfam family "Eukaryotic large subunit ribosomal RNA", at positions 1891 to 2588 of the family's 3401-position model. The record is from Rfam by way of RNAcentral. Lineage: Eukaryota; Metazoa; Nematoda; Chromadorea; Rhabditida; Metastrongylidae.